UACGGGGGGGGCAAGCGUUGUUCGGAAUUACUGGGCGUAAAGGGCUCGUAGGUGGCCAACUAAGUCAGACGUGAAAUCCCUCGGCUUAACCGGGGAACUGCGUCUGAUACUGGAUGGCUUGAGUUUGGGAGAGGGACGCGGAAUUCCAGGUGUAGCGGUGAAAUGCGUAGAUAUCUGGAGGAACACCGGUGGCGAAGGCGGCAUCCUGGACCAACACUGACACUGAGGAGCGAAAGCCAGGGGAGCAAACGGG
This 253-nucleotide ribosomal RNA is filed under the name uncultured bacterium. RNAcentral's name for it is "partial 16S ribosomal RNA". It matches the Rfam family "Bacterial small subunit ribosomal RNA", at positions 524 to 776 of the family's 1533-position model. The record is from RNAcentral.